UUGACAUCAUGAGGAUAACAUUGCUAGCUUUGAGCAGCAUAGUCUCCCAUCAUGUUGCCAGGGGCAGUACGUCACUUGGUCCCUCUGUGGCUCUGCUUUGACUACUGGCUGGUUACAGUGUGAGGCAGGGCCAGGGAGAUGGCUGCUGGGACAGGUCUUGAGGAGAGCCUACACCUCCACAAGAGCAAGGCAGGCUGCAGCAGGUGACAGUGCCCCUGUGUUUUCCAGAGCACGAGUGUACGGGGACAAGCUGGCCAUGGUGGACGACAGUGGGAGCCACAGCUACAGGGUGUUGUAUGGCAGUAGUAGGGGCCUGGCUGGGCGUAUCAAGGCAGUUCUGGGCUGUCCCUCUGGGGACCUGCAGUGAAAGCGCAUCUCCUUCCUGUGUGCCAACGAUGCCUUGUACACGGUAGCCCAGUGGGCGUCCAUCUGCCCCCACCUACAGCCUCAGCUGUCUUCUGGAAGCCCCAGAGACCCAGCCUGAGCCUGGCAUCACAGACUGGGCCCAGCGUCCUGCCAUGAUCAUUUACACCAGGGGCACCACAGGCAGGCCCAAAGGGGUUCUCCAUAUUCACAGCAACAUCCAGGUUCAGGUUCUAGUGUCAGAGUGUGGCUGGUCCAGAGAUGAUGUCAUCCUUCACACCUUUCCCCUGCACCACAUCGUCAACAAGCUGCUCUGACCUCUCUGGGUGGGUGCCACCACCGUCAUGCUGCCUACCUUCCAGCCUCAGAAGGUAUGGGAGGUCCUGCUCAGCUCCAAGGCUCUUAUGGUGAAUGUGUUCAUGGCUGUUCCAACCAUCUACUCCGAGCUGAUCCGGCACUAUGAGCAGCACUUCUCCCAGCCACACGACCAGGACUUUGUCAGGGCUGCCUGCAAGGAGAGAAUCAGGCAGCACGAACCGUAUAGUCUACUUAUACUAGUGUCAAUACCUCAGGAAAUGAGUAGAUCUCCAUCAUUAGCAGUAUCAUAAUAUUCAUAUAACUGGAUAAAUAUCUUUAACAAGCUCAUUGCUUAUCUAUUGUGAUGAAAUUACUUUCUUAAAAUCUCUGACAAGACAUCUUCAGAGCGAAUGGGUUCUCAUGAAUCUGGACAGUGGUUUCUCAUUCCAUCAGAGAGUGAAGCGAUAGUUUGAAGGGGAAGGGAUAUGUGUCAGAGAUCAAAGGGAUGGGUUUUAAAGAGAGACGGGGCUUUGUAGUGAGAUGUGACAGAUGCUUUCUGCAAAUGUACCAGGGCUUAUGCUCAAGAGAGAGUGAAGAAAGCAUUGGGACGUGACAGAUGGAAUAGAGUUAUAAACUCUAUGUAAAGCCUAGCACUUAUGUUACCCCAACUUAAAGUUGCAAAGCUACCGGUAAUUUACCAAAGUGACCUGAAUCUUCGGUAAUUUUGGGUAAUUAACAGGAAAUGUAUGGUAACUUUGAUAAUUUAUAACUGAUUAAUAAAAAAAACUGUUAAUAUAAAGUAUAAACUUUUUAUGUUUCUGGUGGAUAGACCAUAUGGUUCAAGAGAAAAUUACCUAAUUAAUGGAAAAAGCAUCUAAUCAACAAUGGCAUUGUUUUCAAUUAACUCUGCGACUCUUCAAACUAUUGACUUUUUUCACCAUUGCUACCAAUUUGGCGGCAAAACAUUUACAACAAAGUCAUAUUGGUGUGUGACCGUGGCAAAGUAGGUUUGACAUUGGAUAGCCCAUCUUUGAGGUUAGUUAGCGACCUUCAAAUAAAUGACACAAUGUAAAUAGGACAAUAUUAUAAUGUUGCACAUUAAAUGCUUUCAAUAUUGUAAAUUAAUUUCUACAAUUUAUAGUUGGUUUGAGGUUUUUAAGUAAUUGAAAUUUGGAGCUUUUGUCAUUUUAAAAUCUUGUCCCAUGUACAUUGUGUAAUUUACUGAUGGUCCUUCAGUAGCCCCAUAGGGAUAUUGAACGUCAAACCAAAUUGGCCAUGGGUGUUAUGAUUGGGUCGCGUGCAGCUGCUCUCUGAAUUGAUGAUUACUUGGGUGCUGCCAGCUGUGGGCAUGUGGGCAUGAUUAAAAUAAAUCCAACCCAUGGAAAACCCUUACGGUACCCUUCAUUCUGUAACAUACCAUUUUAUCCUAUCAUCUCGCAAAUCUUCGUUUUCGAUGAGACUGACUUUAUGACCAAAAUUAUACUAUUUACACUUUGUAGUACAUUUUGACACUAGAAUAAUGUUUUAAAACUCAUAUCGAUGCCACAUAGGCUGUUUUCAAAGCGAGAAGUUGCUUUUCAGGGGCAGUCGCUCUUCAAACACCAAUGGUAUUCACUAAGUUGAUGGUUUAUAUUUAGGCCACAGGCCGAUACAUUUUUUUCUUGAGCGGUUGGUUGGGGGCCGGAACAUAAUUACAAAUGAUUUGUAGACUGCAAAUUGACCGCAAGAAACCCUAACAGAUAUCAUAUUUGACUAAAACAUAAUAAUUUUAAACCUUUGGGGGGGGGGGAAUAA
Oncorhynchus masou masou (cherry salmon) is the source of this 2454-nucleotide long non-coding RNA. RefSeq lists it as uncharacterized. The transcript is spliced from 3 exons. The record is from RefSeq and is a predicted model, not a curated record. Lineage: Eukaryota; Metazoa; Chordata; Actinopteri; Salmoniformes; Salmonidae.